GUUGGGAAUAUUUUCUUAUUCACUGCAUAGUUGUCCAGGUCAAUAGGAGUUUGUUAGUUAGUGGAUGAAUAAAUGGUAUACGUGUCCAGCUCUCAUUACUUAGUGGCUGGUCUGUUGGGUUAAGUUGGGUUAGUGCCUAGUCUUUAGUUAAUUCUGUUUUCGAUUAUUUGAGUCAUUGUAAUGCCUAUUUAAAGGCACUGUUCUUUAUUCAAUAAUACAUAGCAAUUCAUUCUCAUUCUCUACGAUCUGUGCAACAGUGGUAUCAGAGCGUGGUUAGAGUGAAAUUAAAAGAAUUGAAAUUGAGAGUUUUGUGAGGGAGAGACAGCAGCAGCUUCACCCACUAAAUUGAGAGAGAACGAAGCUUUGUGAAAGUUCACCCACUAAAUUGAGAGCUUUGUGAGAGAGAACGGAGCUUUGUGAGAGAGAACCCACUAAAUUGAGAGCUUUGUGAGAGAGAAUCCACCAAAUUUGUGAGAGAGAACCCACCAAAUUGAAAGCUUUGUGAGAGAAACAACAGUAGCUUCAUCAAGCAUCAAUGGCGUCAGAAAACAAUUUCGUUCAACCUUCAAUUCCACGGUUUGAUGGUCACUACGACCACUGGAGCAUGCUAAUGGAGAAUUUCUUGAAAUCGAAAGAGUAUUGGAGCAUUGUUGAUUCUGGAAUACCAGAAUUAACCGAAGGGGUCGUGCUGACAAAUGCCCAGAGAACUGAACGAGAAGGGUUACAAUUGAAGGAUCUUAAGGCCAAAAAUUUUCUAUUUCAGGCCAUAGAUCGCUCAAUUCUGGAAACCAUUUUGUGCAAAGACACAUCAAAGCACAUUUGGGACUCCAUGAAAAAGAAGUAUCAAGGGUCAACAAGAGCAAAAAGGCAGCAACUUCAAGCACUUCGUUCUGAGUUUGAAACACUCCGAAUGAAGUCAGGGGAAUCAGUCACAAAUUACUUCUCACGGACAAUGGUAAUUGUCAACAAGAUGCGAACCCAUGGAGACAAAACUGAAGAUGUCAUCAUCGUGGAAAAGAUUCUUAGAUCCAUGACACCGAAGUUCAAUUUUGUUGUCUGUUCCAUCGAAGAGUCUAACAAUAUUGAAGAACUGUCAAUCGAUGAAUUACAGAGUUCUUUGUUGGUUCAUGAACAGAAGAUCAGCCAACAGGAUAAAGAAGAACAACUGUUGAAAGCCUCAAUUGACUAUCACCCUACUCCAGUCAAGGCUUACAGAGGGCGAGGCAGGGGACGAAAUGACUACAAAAGGAAUGACAAUCGUGGUCACAUACAGCAGUUUCAGCAUCAUCGUGGACAUCAUCAGCAGAAUCAACAUCAUGAAAAUCAUUUUCAUGAAAGAGGAAGAAGAAGAGGAGGUCAUCAGAAUGGUGGCAGAUCAGAACAUCACUCAAUCUCAGCAGACAAAUCCAAUGUGGAAUGCUACAGAUGUUAUAGGUAUGGUCAUUUUCAGUCAGAUUGUAAAACUAAUAUGACUAGAGGCUAUGGUGAGAAAUUAAACUUUGCUGAAAAAGAAGAAGAGAUUUCGUUGUUAAUGGUUUGCCAUGCAAAAGAAGAAACGAAUAGGAAUUUGUGGUAUUUAGACACAGGGUGUAGUAAUCACAUGUGUGGAGAUAAAUCUGUGUUCUCUGUCUUGGAUGAAUCAUUUCGUGAUGAUGUGAAAUUUGGAGACAAUUCUAAGGUCUCUGUGAUGGGGAAAGGAAGGGAGACUAAGGAAGAUUCCACACAUAAUAUUUCUAAUGUGCUUUAUGUACCAGACUUGAAGACUAAUUUACUCAGUGUAGGGCAGCUGCAAGAAAGGGGGUAUGAAAUUUCUAUCAAGAAUGGGGUAUGUCAAAUUCGGGAUGAUAAUUUGAGCUUAAUUGCUCAAAUAAACAUGACAACCAACCGAAUGUUCCCUCUCUACCUGAACAGCACCAUUCAAUCUUGUUUCUUAGCAACAAUGAAUAAUGAUGCAUGGCUAUGGCAUCUUCGUUAUGGUCAUCUAAAUUUUGGUGGACUGAAGACCCUACAAAAGAAGAGGAUGGUGACUGGCUUACCAAAAAUUGCAGCCCCUUCAUCAGUUUGUGAAGAGUGUGUUGUCAGCAAACAACACCGAAAGCCAUUUCCAAAGUUCAAGUCUUUGAGAGCAAAGAUGUAGCUGGAACUGGUGCAUUCUGAUCUUUGCGGACCAAUUAAUCCAACCUCCAAUGGUGGUAAAAGGUAUAUAAUUACCUUUAUUGACGACUUUAGUUGAAAAAUUUGGGUCUAUUUCUUGCAGGAAAAAUCUGAGGCAUUUGCCUCUUUCAAGCAUUUCAAAGCAUUGGCUGAAAAAGAGGUUGGAUUACCAAUCAAAAUUCUUCGCACGGAUCGUGGAGGAGAAUACAACUCUCUUGAAUUCACAGAAUUUUGCAAAGAUCAUGGGAUUAAAAGACAGCUUACCGCAACCUUUACUCCCCAGCAGAAUGGGAUUUCUGAGAGGAAAAACCGAACCAUUCUAAACAUGGUGCGAAGUCUGCUGAAUAUGAGUGGCAUUCCAAGAGAUUUCUGGCCUGAGGUGGUUACUUGGAGCAUUCAUAUCUUGAACAGAAGUCCAACAUUUGCUGUUCAAAAUAUGACCCCAGAGGAGGCUUAGAGUGGCAAACGACCAGCAGUGGAUUACUUCAAGAUUUUUGGGUGCAUUGCUUAUGCCCAUAUUCCAGAUGUGAAGAGGAAAAAGCUGGAGAACAAGGGAGAAAAAUGUGUUUUUCUUGGUGUUAGUGACCAUUCCAAAGCCUACAAGCUUUACAAUCCUAACACUAAGAGAAUUGUGAUUAGCCGUGAUGUAAUCUUUGAUGAAGACCAAUUCUGGUCAUGGCACAGCAGUGUUCCCAACAAGCCUUUGGUGCUAGAUACUGAUAUUGAUAAUGAUAAUGAAGAAGGGCUGCAAGCACAGCCGACAGUAGAGAGUUCACAACUAGUGGAUGAUCAAAGGCCUUUACAUGCAAGGACAAGGCCUGCAUGGAUGGCAGAUUAUAAAGUCGCUGGAAUUGCCCAAGAUGAAGACCCACUCACCUAUUUUGCCCUAUUUUCUGACUGUGAUCCUACAACCUUUGAAGUUGCUGUCAAAACAUCCACAUGGCGUCAGGCAAUGAAUGAAGAGAUUGCUACAAUUGAAAGGAAUAAUACUUGGGAAUUGACUCAGCUUCCAGAAGGGCACAAAACCAUUGGUGUCAAAUGGGUGUACAAGACCAAAUUGAAGGAAAAUGGUGAAAUCGACAAACAUAAGGCCCGGUUAGUAGCCAAGGGCUACAAACAAGAAUUCAGUGUGGACUAUAAAGAGGUGUUCUCUCCUGUUGCACGCAUGGACACAAUCAGAUUGGUGCUUGCAAUGGCAGCUCAGAACUCAUGGUCUAUUUUCCAGCUAGAUGUGAAAUCAGCCUUCUUACAUGGAGAGCUAGAGGAGCAGGUAUAUAUCGAUCAACCUCCUGGUUAUGUUAAACUUGGUGCUGAAGAUAAAGUAUAUAAGUUAAAAAAAGGCGCUCUAUGGACUUAAACAAGCUCCCAGAGCUUGGUAUAGUCGCAUAGAGGCUUAUUUUUUACGGGAGGGAUUUCAGAAAUGCCCACAUGAGCAUACAUUUUUUGUCAAAACUGAAAAUGGAAAAAUGCUGAUUGUGUGCCUAUAUGUGGAUGAUUUGAUUUACACUGGAAAUAAUUAUGCCAUGUUUGAGAAGUUUAAAGAGUCUAUGAUGAUUGAAUUCGAGAUGACUGAUCUCAGGAUGAUGCAUUACUAUCUCGGCCUUGAGGUAGUACAAUCAACAACUUGCAUUUUCAUUUCGCAAAAGAAGUAUGUUCAAGAAAUCUUAGAAAGAUUUCAAAUGAACAAUUGUAACUCAGUUGGCACACCUACUGAAGUUGGUGUGAAACUUUUCAAGGAUCCAGAAGGGAAGAGGGUUGACAGUACAAACUACAAACAAAUUGUAGGGAGCCUAAUGUAUUUGACAGCGACGAGGCCUGACAUAAUGUAUGCUGUCAGUCUCAUUAGUAGAUACAUGGAAAACCCUAAAGAGAUUCAUCUUCUUGCUGCAAAAAGAAUCUUUCGUUACCUACAAGGUACUGCUGAUUUUGGAUUACUCUACAAAAAAGGAGAACAUUCAGAUUUAAUGGGUUUUACUGAUAGUGACUAUGCCGGGGAUCAAGAUGAUCGGAAAAGCACUUCGGGGUAUGUUUUUAUGCUGGGUACAGGAGUCGUCUCAUGGUCAUCCAAGAAACAACCAAUAGUUACCUUAUCAACAACCGAAGCUGAAUUUGUAGCUGCAGCUUCAUGUGCAUGUCAAGCAAUUUGGCUAAGGAGGAUUCUUGAAGAAAUUCAGUUCAAACAACAAGGAGAAACUUCAAUUUAUUGUGACAACAGCUCAACAAUAAAACUAUCAAGAAAUCCUGUGCUACAUGGGAGAAGCAAGCACAUUGAUGUCAAAUACCAUUUCUUAAGGGAUCUCGCAAAAGAUGAAGUAAUUAAUCUUAUUUUCUGCAGGAGUGAAGACCAAGUGGUUGACAUAUUCACUAAGCCGCUUAAAACACCAUUGUUUCACAAGCUAAGGGAGUUGCUUGGAGUGUGUUCUUUGGGAUGAUUGUAUUAAAAGCUAUCUUAUUAUUCUUUAAACUGAAUGUCUGAAAUUGUUCAGUUUAAGGGAGGGAUUGUUGGGAAUAUUUUCUUGUUCACUGCAUAGUUGUCCAGAUCAAUAGGAGUUUGUUAGUUAGUGGAUGAAUAAAUGGUAUACGUGUCCAGCUCUCAUUACUUAGUGGCUGGUCUGUUGGGUUAAGUUGGGUUAGUGCCUAGUCUUUAGUUAAUUCUGUUUUCGAUUAUUUGAGUCAUUGUAAUGCCUAUUUAAAGGCACUCUUCUUUAUUCAAUAAUACAUAGCAAUUCAUUCUCAUUCUCU
This 4896-nucleotide long non-coding RNA is filed under the name Populus trichocarpa (black cottonwood). RNAcentral describes it as "long non-coding RNA (PTRI_LNC003436)". Lineage: Eukaryota; Viridiplantae; Streptophyta; Magnoliopsida; Malpighiales; Salicaceae. The record is from RNAcentral.